Pogona vitticeps (central bearded dragon) is the source of this 91-nucleotide non-coding RNA. Lineage: Eukaryota; Metazoa; Chordata; Lepidosauria; Squamata; Agamidae. The record is from RefSeq and is a predicted model, not a curated record.
GAAGAGGAUUUUGUGAUGGAGACGUUAGACCAACUGCUCCAGGAGACACAGGACGUGACUGAGAAUACUGAGAUUUAAAGGGGAGGAGAAA